Molecule: ribosomal RNA, 517 nt
Filed under: uncultured bacterium
Lineage: Bacteria
Description: bacterial SSU rRNA
Rfam family: Bacterial small subunit ribosomal RNA
Source: RNAcentral
AGCGAACGUUAGCGGCGGGCCUAACACAUGCAAGUCGAACGCGAAAGGUCUUCGGACUGAUUAGAGUGGCGCACGGGUGAGUAACACGUAGGUAAUCUACCCUUUGGCGGGGGAUAACGUUCCGAAAGGAGCGCUAAUACCGCAUAAGACCACGGAGUCUCCGGACGCUGUGGGAAAAGGUGGCCUCUUCUUGAAAGCUAUCACCGGAGGAUGAGCCUGCGUCCCAUCAGCUAGUUGGUAAGGUAAUGGCUUACCAAGGCAAAGACGGGUAGCUGGUUUGAGAGAAUGAUCAGCCACACUGGCACUGGAACACGGGCCAGACUCCUACGGGAGGCAGCAGUGAGGAAUAUUGGGGCAAUGGGCGAAAGCCUGACCCAGCCACGCCGCGUGAGUGAUGAAGGCCCUCGGGUCGUAAAGCUCUGUGGAGAGGGACGAAAAACCUGGGGUCUAAUAGGCCCCGGACUUGACGGUACCGUCUUUAGCAAGCACCGGCUAACUCUGUGCCAGCAGCCGACGG